RNAcentral lists this ribosomal RNA (492 nucleotides) under uncultured bacterium. RNAcentral describes it as "partial 16S ribosomal RNA". It matches the Rfam family "Bacterial small subunit ribosomal RNA", at positions 29 to 507 of the family's 1533-position model. The record is from RNAcentral.
AGUGAACGCUGGCGGUAGGCUUAACACAUGCAAGUCGAACGGCAGCACAGUAAGAGCUUGCUCUGACGGGUGGCGAGUGGCGGACGGGUGAGGUAUACACCGGAACCUACUCUUUCGUGGGGGAUAACGCAGGGAAACUUACGCUAAUACCGCAUACGACCUACGGGUGAAAGCAGGGGAUCUUCGGACCUUGCGCGAUUGAAUGAGCCGAUGUCGGAUUAGCUAGUUGGCGGGGUAAAGGCCCACCACGGCGACGAUCCGUAGCUGGUCUGAGAGGAUGAUCCACCCCCCUGGACCUUGGCCACGGUCCCGCCUCCUCAGCGGUGGACCAGUGGGGAAUGUUGGACACUUGGCGCAAGCCUGCUCCAGCCAUACCGCGUGGGUGAAGCAGGCUUUCGGGUUGUCAGGCCCUUUUUUUGGGAACGAAAAGCACCAGGUUCCUACCCCGCUGUUCUGCCGGUCCCCCACGCAUAAGCACCGGCUACCUCCGUG